GGGCUUUGACUCAUUGCUCAAUGAUGUCCUUCAAGUCGGCUCACAGCUCUCUAGGGUUUUAUGUAGUUGAACUAAUUAACCUUCUAUGUAGUUGCUCCUUUUGGGAGAUGAUUCAAGUGAGAUGAAAACAAGUACUAAGCCUUUGUGGUUGUAUUUUUUGAGAGAAUCUUUCUUGUUCUCUCCUUCGUCGAUCCUUUCUUUGCUACCUUCACUAUUUAUCUGUCUCCUCCACAUUUCAGUCCCUUCACUACUUCGUUUUGGGUCCUCUUCCUCUAUGCCUUGUGUGGGUUACUUGAAGUGAUCUUCGGGUCUAAUUUGUGUGGUGCUACCAUUUGGAUUGUGGCCAUAAGUUUGAGCCUUGAUUUAUCCACCAUUGUUGCAUCUUGUUUUGGAAAAAAUAGAGUUUUUCACUUUUAUUUUUUAAUCUAUACAGUUGAUUUCUAAUUUCUUGUAUUAAUCUUGUUAUUUAUCUUUGUUUAAUUUGGUGCUUUGCAAGGUUAAUUCUAACAAACUAUUAUCCAAGCCUUUGUUGCCUUUUUUAUGGAAAUAAAUUUAAUAAAAAAUAGCUAGAGAUAGCUAGUAGUGAUCGACAAUACGUGGCUGGCGGCAAAUGAUAGUGAUGAGUGAAAAGGACCGGGUGUUUCAUUUGCUAUUGUUUUGCUUUUGCUGAUUUUGCAAAAAUUAAAACCCUAAAUUAAAUCAUAUCUCUAUGUUUUCCAUGAAUUGAAAUAUUGGUUUGCUCGAUAAAUUGGUUGAUCUUCUUUCAGUUUUUUUGCAAUAGCAGAUUAUCGUAUUGGAGUGGCCAUUAGGUUUAGAGGUUACCAUAUGGGGUAAUCAUUUCUUG
RNAcentral lists this long non-coding RNA (844 nucleotides) under Olea europaea (common olive). Its description in RNAcentral is "long non-coding RNA (OEUR_LNC007697)". Lineage: Eukaryota; Viridiplantae; Streptophyta; Magnoliopsida; Lamiales; Oleaceae. The record is from RNAcentral.